GGACGAAGAAGAAAGGAAAAAUGGAAGUGGAAGAGGAGGAGGAGCCAAGCCACAAUAUUUAGUCUUGUAUAAUUUCAUGGUAUGAUGGACGCAGCUGAGGUGGGCCUCCGCUGUGGCCAGGCAGUUCAGCCUUGCCGUCAACCCUCCAUGUGAUGAGUGAGUUGCCGGUUGAGCUGGAGUGUCCUGGUAUUGUAGACAACCAUCUGUGUAACCUUUUUGUGAAGAGGUCCGGUGUGACCCCUGGCAGGUUCGUGAUGGUGUUCGGCACAGCGUUGAAGAGGUCCGCAGAAAACAACACGCCGAUUUAUUUGAAGUCAAGGACGGAGAUUAAAACGGCCUUGAAAAACACCACACCUGUUUUGUCCACCGCCAUCACCACCUUUUCCCAGAUCAAGGAAGUGUAUUACAGACUCACACAUAAGGAAGAGGUGUGAGUACCUGUAUCACAGGUCACACCGUGGGACUGACACCGCUGGAGCAACCCUUCGGAAUAAAGGUUGCGUGGUAGGUGCGUUCACUGGUCUGGGCUGUGUUGGUGCGUGUUCUGAAGAGAUGACCGCAGAAACGCUGGCUGCUGAUGACUACAGCCGCACAGAGGUAGUGUACUGUACAAGCUGGAUGGAAGUAUGCAAACCUCGCAAUGAAGAUGGAAAAGUUGAGGAAAUGGUUCUUCUAUCUUGA
This is an RNA transcript of Portunus trituberculatus (swimming crab), 681 nucleotides long. RefSeq lists it as uncharacterized. The record is from RefSeq and is a predicted model, not a curated record. The transcript is spliced from 5 exons. NCBI's taxonomy places the organism in Eukaryota, Metazoa, Arthropoda, Malacostraca, Decapoda, Portunidae.